CACCUGGGGAAUGGCUCGGCUCGGGAGCCGAGGAAGGACGUGCCAAGCCGCGAUAUUACUCCGAGUAGGCGCAAGGAGCCGUUGAUCCGGAGAUUUCCGAAUGGGACCUCCUGGCCCUUCGGGGCCAUUCCUUCAUGGAAAGGGAACCCCCCGAACUGAAACAUCUUAGUAGGGGGAGGAAAAGAAAUCAACCGAGAUUCCGUUAGUAAAGGCGAUCGAACACGGAAUAGGGCAAACCGAAUCCCAGGUCGAAAGAUCAGGGAGAUGUGGAGUUUGGACUCGUGCACACCCACCCCAUAGAAGCCGAAUUCUGAUUGAAUGCGGAGCCGUAGAGGGUGCUAGCCCCGUAGGUGAACCGUGGACGGGUGAUUGCGAGUAUCCAGAGUAGCGUGCCUUGGAAAUGGCGCGUGAAUGCGGGGGACAUCGACCUCCAACCCUAAAUACUACCCGAGACCGAUAGCGCAAUAGUAGCGUGAGUGAAAGCUGAAAAGUAACUUUGGCGAGAGGUGAAAAGAACCUGAAACCAGGUGGCUAUAACCUGAUAUGGCGUGAAAGGGGCAACCCAGCGUCAUAUCGUCCGUUUCGAAAAACGGGCCAGGGAGUUCUGAUCAAUGGCGAGGUUAAGGCGUCUAACGCCGAAGCCAGAGGGAAACCGAUUUUCCGCAGCCUUCGGGCGAGGGAAGAGGUGUGCUCGCCUUUAGUCAUUGGUGGGAUACCCGAAACCUGACGAUCUAUGCGUGGGCAGGAUGAAGCUCGGUGAAAACCGGGUGGAGGUCCGUAGAGGUAUUGACGUGCAAAUCAUUCUCGUGACCUGCGUGUAGGGGUGAAAGUCCAAUCUAGUCAGGUAAUAGCUGGUUCCUCCCGAGACAACCCGUAGGUUGACCUCAGCAGAGGUAGAUGGUGGGGUAGAGCACCGAUUGGGUGUUUAGGGGGAGAAAUCCCUCGGCAUCCUGUCAAACUCCGAAUCUGCCAUCGCCGUAGAAGCUGGGAGUUAGGGCACCAGGGGUAAGCUCGGUGUCCGAAAGGUAAAAAAACCAGCCUGGUGUUAAGGUCCCCAAGUGCCGGUUAAGUGUAAACUCAAAGGUAGUCCGUGGUCUAAGACAAUUGGAAGGUGGGCUUAGAGGCAGCCAUCCUUUAAAGAGUUCGUAACAGAUCACCAGUCAAGAUUGUGGGCGCCGAAAAUGGACGGGGCUAAAUCGGCCACCGAUACACCAGAGCACCGUAAGGUGAUUUGGUAGGGAGGCGUCGUGCGUGGGUCGAAGCUGGGGGGUGACCUCCAGUGGACCGCGUUCGAAUGAGGAUCCUGGUAGGAGUAGCAGCAAAGAACGGUGAGAAUCCGUUCCGCCGCAGGGGCUAGGGUUCCUCGACAAUGUUCGUCAGUCGAGGGUUAGUCGGUCCUAAGACUGUCCCUAACCGAGGCAGCCGAAAGGGAAGCAGGUUAAUAUUCCUGCACCAUGUCGGUCCCUGUGCUAGCGUUGACGCAUCCGGAUAGGCCGUUCAGGGCCGUCGUUCUGUUCAAGCCUAUAAGCCCCCUGAGAACCGUAAUGGUGAGACGGGGACGAAAUGGUGAUGGGGCCCAGUAACUGGGCUUCGGUUUAUUCCAGGUGCCCGUGAAAAUUCGCUAGCAGUCAGCCGACGUGACCGUACCGAGAACUGACACAGGUGCCCCUAGGUGAGUAGCCUAAGGCGUGUUGGUGUAUAAUCCAGGCGAGGGAAUUCGGCAAAUUAGCCCUGUACCUUCGGUAUAAGGGGUGCCAGCCAUGAGAAUGACUGGUCGCAGUGACAAGGGGGGCCCGACUGUUUAAUAAAAACAUAUGUGGCAGCGAGUCCGGAAGGAUGUGUAUUGCCGCUGAAGCCUGCCCAGUGUCGGUAUCUCAAACUCCGUUUCAACGGAGCGAAGGACCGAUAAACGGCGGGGGUAACUAUGACCCUCUUAAGGUAGCGUAAUACCUUGCCGCUUAAUUGGCGGCUUGCAUGAAGGCCCAACGAGACCCCCACUGUCCCCGCCUGGAACCCAGUGAAACUGAUAGUACUGGCGCACAAUCCAGUUACCUCAAUCUGAAAGCGAAGACCCCGUAGAGCUUUACUGCAGCCUGCGGUUGUUGUAUGAGGUUGUAUGUGUAGGGUAGACGGGAGGCGUCGAUCCGUUGGACGCUAGUUCAACGGGGAGCCAACGAUGGAACACCGUCCUUAUGAUUUCGUACAUCUGACCGGUUCGCCGGGACAUCUGUAGGUGGGCAGUUUGGGUGGGGCGCCACGCCCUCGAAAAAGAAACAAGGGCGCCCAAAGGUCAGCUCAGGUAGUUCAGAACCCUACCGUUGAAUGUAAGGGUAAAAGCUGGCUUGACGCGGAUCCGGACCACAAGGAUCGGCGAUAGGAAACUAGGGCCUAACGAACCACAAUGGCUUAUUGAUGAGGCCUUGUGAUAACAGAAAAGUUACCUCGGGGAUAACUGAGUUGUCUCCAGUAAGAGCUCACAUCGACCUGGAGGCUUGCUACUUCGAUGUCGUCUCUUCCUAUCCUGGUGGUGCAGCAGCUGCCAAGGGUGGGGUUGUUCGCCCAUUAAAAGGGAUCGUGAGAUGGGUUUAGACCGUCGUGAGACAGGUUUGUUGCUUUUCGGUUGAGGUGCAGGGUGUCUGAGGGGAAAGAGCCUUUAGUACGAGAGGAACAGGGCUCUGGGGCCUCUAGUCGACCAGUUGUCCGACAGGGCAUUGCUGGGCAGCCACGCCCUAAGGGAUAAGAGCUGAAAGCAUCUAAGCUCGAAGCCCGCCCUGAAAAGAGACACCCUAAGGCUCUCGUAGAAGACGAGAUUGAUAGGACGGGGGUGUACGCACCGAGGUUCGCCGAGGUGUUCAGCCCGCCGUUACUAACCG
RNAcentral lists this ribosomal RNA (2873 nucleotides) under Candidatus Bathyarchaeota archaeon. RNAcentral describes it as "23S ribosomal RNA". It matches the Rfam family "Archaeal large subunit ribosomal RNA". The record is from RNAcentral. Lineage: Archaea; Thermoproteati; Candidatus Bathyarchaeota.